This is an RNA transcript of Pyrus x bretschneideri (Chinese white pear), 2359 nucleotides long. It is a transcript of the gene named protein PLASTID TRANSCRIPTIONALLY ACTIVE 12, chloroplastic, with no coding region annotated. The transcript has 12 exons. The record is from RefSeq and is a predicted model, not a curated record. Lineage: Eukaryota; Viridiplantae; Streptophyta; Magnoliopsida; Rosales; Rosaceae.
AGCAAAGCCCCUUAUCCAAUUUUCCAAAACCCUCUCUCAGUCCCCCUCUCCGUCUUCACUUCUCACUCUGGAGCGGGUGACCCCAUAACUGAAAGCUCCAAACUUUAAUCCCCAGCACCAAUUCAAACCUUCGUCUCUACAGAAACGAAUCGCUAGCCAGCAGUUGAACCAGGCUCUCCAACUCCAGUUUUCAAAAUUCGGAAUAUAAAGAUUUUGGUGAUAUUUAUGCUGCGUUGAAGUGAAAAAUGGCAUCUCUACCAGGAACUUGGCUGUAUCAAGAUAGGGGAUUGAUAGGUGUAGUCUCAGCACAGAGCCAUGCUUCUGGGAAGCCAUGUUUCAAUCACCCCAAGGCAUCAACUGUAAGUUCAUUUCCAGUUGGAUUAUUCCAAGUUAGAGUUGGCUCGAAUCUAUUGCCAAAGAGGGCACCUUUACUUCCUUGUAUAAAGUGUGAGAAGGAUGAUGAGUCCUCCAAAGAGGUCUCUAUUGAGCGUCCACCCUACGAUAGUUAUAUGGACUCGACAUCUGGGCAGCUUGAACCCGCAUCUGGUGCUCGUGCCAGCAUUCCAGGGCAGGAUUAUUGGCCUGAAGGCACAGCUAGUCGAGUUAGGGCUGCCAGGGCUCCUGAGCCUACUGGUAAGUCAGUUGGAUCACCAUCUUAUGGUAAAAAUCCUGGAAGUAGGAGGAGGAAGAAUAAAACAUCAGUUGCUGCCAGUGAAUCUACUGAGCAAAGUGUAGAGUCAAGUGAUACAGUGGCAGUGGAACUGCUGGAACCAGAAACUUCAGAGGACGCACUAGAGGAUCCUAAAGAUACCCCAUCUGAAUAUGUUGUGUAUCAGACUGAACCUGAAAAAGAAGAAGAAACAGGAUUUGACCUGGACAAGAAACUCGGACGUCCUCAUCCCUUUAUUGAUCCAGAAACAAGGAAGCCACUAGGUGAGCCACUCACAAGUGAUGAGCUAUGGUGGAACUGGAGAAAACCAGAGAAAGAAAAUUGGUCCAGAUGGCAAAGGAGACGACCUGAUUCUGAAACGGUUUUUCUCAAAGCAAUGGCAGAGACUGGGCAGGUAAAGCUUUAUGGUGAAAAUCCAACAUUGACGGAAACUUCACUUUACAGAGCAAGACGACAUCUUUUCAAGGAAGAAAGGCUUCAAGCGGAACAAGAAAGACUGGAUAGAACAGGUCCACUUGCAUACUAUUCGGAAUGGGUAAAAGCGUGGAAAAGGGACACUUCUCGAGAAGCUGUUCAGAAACAUUAUGAAGAGACUGGUGAAAAUGAAACAACCCAACUAAUUGAAAUGUUUUCUCAUCAAACAGAUCGAGAGUAUCGCAUAAUGAUGGGGACAGAUACCCGUAUACGUAGGGACCCCUUAGCAAUGCGUAUGCGAGAGGAUCAAAUCAAGCAAAUAUGGGGCGGAGAUCCUGUUUACCCAACUGUGAACUAUAUUCAAGAUCCAGAUGAAGUGAUUGAUUACAGAGGCGCAGAUUUUCAUGAACCGACACCAGAUAUGCUGUCUUUUCUGAAGGAGCACAAAAAAAUCAUAUCAAGGGAGGAGCUUGAGAAAAUUCUGUCAAAAGAGAAGACUCAAGAGCUUGAGGCACCUGAUAUAGAAGAAGCUAUGGCACAAGCAGUUGACAUCGGUGAAGACGAUGAAGGAGAAGAUAGUGAAACCGAGGUUGAUGAACAAGGAGAGAAAAUCACACGCAACUGGAGUGUUUUGAAAACUACUCCUGAGCUUACCAAGUCAAAGGAUAAACCGAAAAAGAACGACAGCAUGUCUUUGGAAGAAGCUGUAGACGAUUCAGAGAACUUAACUGACUUUCUGAUGGACUUUGAGGAAGACGUGUAGAUUACGUUCUUUGGAAGAUUUUGGCCUUUUGAGAUUCACAGAGAAGUAGGCGAUGAAGAUGUAGGGAAACUUCGCUCACACAAUUUUAUAAGCGCACAGGCCUUUUUUUUAUCUUUGCAUAACACUGUUUAUUUCUGGUCUUUAGAUGGGAUAAAUCAAAGAAGAAUCAAUAGAAAAAUAUAGAUAAGAGGUUUGUAAAAGAGAAAAACACGAAGGACAACAAAGCCUUAUUCCAUUAAGUAUAAUCGGUUGUAUAACUAGAGGUUUGUAAAAAGAGAAAAAUAAUUUUCCAUUUAUGGAGGUUAGGAUGAAUUCCACAUCGUGGAAGGGAGGGACUUACAUGUACUUACAAGUAGUUAGUCUUUUUCAUAUUGCCAAUUAGUUUUAUGGUGGAGCCUCAACUUCUUUGUGGUAUCAAAGCAGGUCAUACGUGCUUCACGCCACCCAAUCUAUGUUGUCCACAUGUUAGACUUAAAAAUUUGUCAUACAUGAGAGGACGUGUUGAGAGUGAA